ACUCCUUCCAGUGGUGGAGGAAAGUUUGCACAAGAUCUGGCAAUGACUACUAUUGUUUUACAGUGGGAAGACACAUUUAUUUCUGUCAAACUCAUGCAAGCCAUGCCUCUCACCCUAGAUGGUACAAGUAGAGGAGAAGAACCCUGAGGUUACAAGGUGCAGAGCUCUUCUGUUACAA
Long non-coding RNA from Lolium rigidum, 178 nucleotides. RefSeq lists it as uncharacterized. NCBI's taxonomy places the organism in Eukaryota, Viridiplantae, Streptophyta, Magnoliopsida, Poales, Poaceae. The record is from RefSeq and is a predicted model, not a curated record. The transcript is spliced from 3 exons.